CAUGGUGCCAGACAUAUGGACCGCUUAUGAAGCUAUGCCAUGGUAUACCUGAGGAAGUGUCUCCCUGCUCCUGGCAGAGCUCUGUGCCUCCUUCUACAAGACUAUCAUCCAACAGCCAAGGAAACUUCAUUUCCCUACCCCUCAUAGACUCCGCCCACGGGCUCCCAAAUGGCGGAAGAAAUGCACGAUACGGCCGGACAUCUCACACUACUGCGGAGGUAUCCCGAUGCUACGCCGGCGGCGUAGGCGGGGCGACCGGUUCUUCCUUCCUCUCUGCGUCUUCGGCUCCUCCCCUAGCGCUUCACACGCUCAUUGUGAGGCGACCGCGGCCGUCAGCCUCUAGAGCUAUUUGAGAUUUAGGGACCGUAAAUUCUCGGCGCGCGUGAACGCCCGCGCUGCUCCUUCCCCACUGCAAAGACUAGGGGCGCGAGAUUCACCUUUCUUUUUUUCUCCCCUCCCGCCCGGUGCUAACCGCCCCGGUGCGCGCGGACAUCUCCCGCCGCCGCUCCCUCCUCCCCGCCCCUCCCCCUUCGGAGCUCCCGCCCGCGCGUUCCUCCCCCUCCCC
This 565-nucleotide long non-coding RNA is filed under the name Equus caballus (horse). RNAcentral describes it as "lncRNA (ENSECAG00000044320.1)". The record is from RNAcentral. Lineage: Eukaryota; Metazoa; Chordata; Mammalia; Perissodactyla; Equidae.